GAUCUUAUAGUUAAGGAAUAAUUUUAGACUGCAAUUCUGAAGUGGUAGUAAUAACUACUGGGAUCU
This 66-nucleotide transfer RNA is filed under the name Conocephalus maculatus (maculated rice katydid). Its description in RNAcentral is "tRNA-Cys". Lineage: Eukaryota; Metazoa; Arthropoda; Insecta; Orthoptera; Tettigoniidae. The record is from RNAcentral.